GGGGAUGUAGCUCAGUGGUAGAGCACUUGCCUACCAUGUGUGAGGCCCCAGAUUUGAUCCCUAGCAUCUCUC
RNAcentral lists this transfer RNA (72 nucleotides) under Marmota marmota marmota (Alpine marmot). It matches the Rfam family "tRNA". Rfam says of the family: Transfer RNA (tRNA) molecules are approximately 80 nucleotides in length. The record is from Rfam by way of RNAcentral. Lineage: Eukaryota; Metazoa; Chordata; Mammalia; Rodentia; Sciuridae. RNAcentral also lists the same sequence under 1 other name.